Molecule: ribosomal RNA, 254 nt
Filed under: uncultured bacterium
Lineage: Bacteria
Description: partial 16S ribosomal RNA
Rfam family: Bacterial small subunit ribosomal RNA
Source: RNAcentral
CACGUAGGGUGCAAGCGUUGUCCGGAUUCAUUGGGCGUAAAGGGCUAGUAGGCGGCUUAGCAAGUCGGGUGUGAAAACUUCAGGCUCAACCUGGAGCGGCCAUCUGAUACUGCUAUGGCUAGAGUCCGGUAGGGGACCACGGAAUUCCUGGUGUAGCGGUGAAAUGCGCAGAUAUCAGGAGGAACACCGGUGGCGAAGGCGGUGGUCUGGGCCGGAACUGACGCUGAAUAGCGAAAGCGUGGGUAGCGAACAGG